CAAUAUAUGGAUGAGUAUUUGUCCCCCGGGGCACAGCUCAACUGGUGGAUCAAUCAACAUUGGCUUGCUUCCAGCGGCAGGGUGGAGAGUUUGAUUCCUGAGGGAACCUGCGGCCAAUAAAUUGGUAUGGAGCAAUCACUGUGGAGGAGGGUCUCUUGUGCGCAGAAGUGUACGGUCAAUGGGGGGAACCUGUGAUCUAGUUGAGGCAUAACCUGCGAUUUAC
RNAcentral lists this long non-coding RNA (223 nucleotides) under Olea europaea subsp. europaea. Lineage: Eukaryota; Viridiplantae; Streptophyta; Magnoliopsida; Lamiales; Oleaceae. The record is from RNAcentral.